AGGUGAAAAUAAAACAUUCCCUUGCAGUUGAUACUUUAGAGCAGCUAAUUCAAAACGGUGAAUGUUGUAGCUAUGACUUUGCAUUUGUUGAUGCGGAGAAGCGUAUGUAUGAUGAGUAUUAUGAAUUACUGUUGCAACUGGUAAAGUUCUAGGCCAGCUACUUGCAAGGUCAUUUUUAUUCCAGAACAUGGUGCUAUAGUGCAUAGCCUUGUGUGGAUUUUAAAAGCUACAUUGAAGCUGCUAGCAGAGUUAUUUAAAUUCCUGGAUUAUAUCAUUUAUUAAUCCAUAAGCUGUAUUUUCGGUUAUGUACAAUAUAGAAGUACAAUAAACUUCUUGGGAUGAACACAGGUAAUUUUUAUCUCAACUUUAAAAACUUACCAUAUAUCAGGCUGUCGAGACAAGGAUUUAAUGCAGGAAAUUUCCAGGAAAAUUAAAGUAUUCUACUUUGCAGGGUAUGAAAAUUGAACGCAACAGCAUAUGAACUAAGGCAGAAUAAAUUUUUGAAGGCAUGAUUUUUGUUAUUUGAUGGGGCCUAAUUGUAUUUUCUUGGAAGCUUAUAUGAUAGAUUUUUGACAUUAAUAUAGGGGUUCGUUAGAAUUGCUAAAAUCAUGUAAAUUGAUUUCUGUUACGGAGACAGUGCCAUCUAUCAUACGACUAUGUCUUUUUAUACAAAGGAUAGAUUUCAACUUCGGCAGAGUAAUCUUGUCAUGAUUAUUUCUUGGUUCAAAAUGCCCCUAGAAGUUUUUGAGCGUAAAGCUGUGUUGUGAUAUAUAAUACAUCUCUACGUCGAGUGCUAGUUUCAAGGUUGGUAUCUGCAUUCCUUAUUUUUUCCUCUCUUGUGUUGUCAACAAUUGCUCUGUUUUGAUUGCUAUUCUAAGGCGUUCAGGUUAUGUCGUUGACGUGGGAGCGUCGGUUCUGGUGCUGUUCACAUUAUGUUACAGUUCAACUUUUAUGUUUUAGUUCUCUGCUUUUAUGUAUUUUUUUUUUUGGAUGACAAACUUGUAAUAAGGAAGGUUUUAGUGCUUGGUUUUAGAAUUGUGAGUUUCUAUUUUUUGUUUUUUCUUUGGAAAGGUCAGCUAUCUGUUCAUCUUCCUUGUAGCUAUGUCCCAGAGUUGGC
Molecule: long non-coding RNA, 1117 nt
Organism: Phalaenopsis equestris
Lineage: Eukaryota; Viridiplantae; Streptophyta; Magnoliopsida; Asparagales; Orchidaceae
Exons: 3
Source: RefSeq, a predicted model, not a curated record